AUUGAACGCUGGCGGCAUGCCUAAGAAAUGCAAGUCGAACGAGGUAGCAAUACCUAGUGGCGAACGGUCGCGUAACACGUGGGCAACCUGCCCCAGAGCGGGGGAUAACAUGCCGAAAGGUGUGCUAAUACCGCAUAUGGCGGCUCUCGGCAUCGAGAGUUGGCUAAAGAUUUAUCACUCUGGGAUGGGCCCGCGGCCUAUCAGCUUGUUGGUGGGGUAACGGCCUACCAAGGCUUCGACGGGUAGCUGGUCUGAGAGGACGAUCAGCCGGAUUGGGACUGAGAUACGGCCCAGACUCCGUACGGGGGGCGA
This 312-nucleotide ribosomal RNA is filed under the name uncultured bacterium. Its description in RNAcentral is "bacterial SSU rRNA". It matches the Rfam family "Bacterial small subunit ribosomal RNA", at positions 30 to 351 of the family's 1533-position model. The record is from RNAcentral.